Dioscorea cayenensis subsp. rotundata (Guinea yam) is the source of this 843-nucleotide long non-coding RNA. RefSeq lists it as uncharacterized. The transcript has 3 exons. NCBI's taxonomy places the organism in Eukaryota, Viridiplantae, Streptophyta, Magnoliopsida, Dioscoreales, Dioscoreaceae. The record is from RefSeq and is a predicted model, not a curated record.
GAUUAUGGGAUGCUCUUAAAGGCUUGUCUGAAAACCAAACCAUUCUUCUCUCUAAAGCUCUUUCCUCCUUGAUAACAACUCAACACCUUGGCCAAAUUUUCAACUUCUGUUCUCUCUUGAAGCUUGGAUUUUGGAGGAUCUCUUCACCAGCAAGUUCAGAGAUUUCGGUAAAGAAUCUUAGUGCGUGGGACUUGGUGAACCCGACAGUGUAGCUCGGAGCCAGUACAUCUCCAUUCCUGGCUCACCCAGCUAGGAGGAGCAAGUCCUAGCCAUGUGCACAUGUUUUCUGUAGUAGCACUACCGGACAUGCGUGUCCGUUCCGACUGCGGUUGAAGAUCCAGCUUCGGCUGUUGAUAUUUUGUUCUGUUCCAACUUCACAAUCGAUGAUCUAGCCUCGUGCUGUUGAUUUCUGUUAUCAGUCAGGGAGAUGUACAUAUCUGUUUUUCUGCGUGUUUUCUGUAUUUUCUGAUUAUUUUUGUAUUCUGUCUGAAUUAUUAAUUAUUAUGUUAUAUCUGUAUUAUUCUGUUAUUUUCUGCGAUCCUACUAGGCCCUUGUGGCUCAUGUACUCUGUGAAUUUUUCCUUCCACAAGAGAAGAUCAAGUUUAGGAUCGGUGGGUUGUUCUGGGGCUUCUUCUGUAGUUGUUGACUUGUCAAACAACUGUUCUUUGAGGUUGUGAACUUUGUAUGUUAUUUUAUUCUGUAUGAGUGAAACUUGUAUUCUGUUUGUAUAAUUUGGCAUGUAAACUACUUGUGUACUCCGUAGGACUGUCAUAGUCCAUAUCUGUAUUAUCUCUGUUUCUGUGACUCUAUUUGUAGUCUAUAUUAUUGUUCUGUUCUACUUAU